This 253-nucleotide ribosomal RNA is filed under the name uncultured bacterium. RNAcentral describes it as "partial 16S ribosomal RNA". It matches the Rfam family "Bacterial small subunit ribosomal RNA", at positions 524 to 776 of the family's 1533-position model. The record is from RNAcentral.
UACGUAGGGGGCAAGCGUUGUCCGGAUUUAUUGGGCGUAAAGAGCGUGUAGGCGGCUUCACAGGUCUGCUGUGAAAACUCGAGGCUCAACCUCGAGCUGUCGGUGGAAACCGUGGGGCUAGAGUCCGGAAGAGGAGAGUGGAAUUCCCGGUGUAGCGGUGAAAUGCGCAGAUAUCAGGAGGAACACCGGUGGCGAAGGCGGGUCUCUGGGCAACAACUGACGCUGAGGAGCGAAAGCGUGGGGAGCGAACAGG